GAGUUUGAUCUUGGCUCAGGAUAAACGUUAGCGGCGUGCCUAACACAUGCAAGUCGAACGAACAGCCAGAAUCUUAGGAAUCUGGCGGGUUAGUGGCGCACGGGUGAGUAACACGUAGGUGACCUGCCCCGAAGUGGGGGACAACCACUGGAAACAGUGGCUAAUACCGCAUGUGCUUAGCCAUUCGGUUGGUUAAGUAAAGCUGAGGCGCUUCGGGAGGGGCCUGCGGUCGAUUAGCUAGUUGGUGAGGUAAUGGCUCACCAAGGCGAUGAUCGAUAGGGGGCGUGAGAGCGUGACCCCCACACUGGGACUGAGACACGGCCCAGACUCCUACGGGAGGCAGCAGUGAGGAAUAUUGCACAAUGGGCGCAAGCCUGAUGCAGCAACGCCGCGU
This 394-nucleotide ribosomal RNA is filed under the name uncultured microorganism. RNAcentral's name for it is "bacterial SSU rRNA". It matches the Rfam family "Bacterial small subunit ribosomal RNA", at positions 9 to 402 of the family's 1533-position model. The record is from RNAcentral.